UACGUAGGGGGCAAGCGUUGUCCGGAAUCAUUGGGCGUAAAGAGCGUGUAGGCGGCCCGGUAAGUCCGCUGUGAGAGUCGGGGGCUCAACCCUCGAAUGCCGGUGGAUACUGUCGGGCUAGAGUGCGGAAGAGGCGAGUGGAAUUCCUGGUGUAGCGGUGAAAUGCGCAGAUAUCAGGAGGAACACCAAUUGCGAAGGCAGCUCGCUGGGACGUAACUGACGCUGAGACGCGAAAGCGUGGGGAGCAAACAGG
This 253-nucleotide ribosomal RNA is filed under the name uncultured bacterium. Its description in RNAcentral is "partial 16S ribosomal RNA". It matches the Rfam family "Bacterial small subunit ribosomal RNA", at positions 524 to 776 of the family's 1533-position model. The record is from RNAcentral.